RNAcentral lists this long non-coding RNA (1277 nucleotides) under Phaseolus vulgaris (common bean). RNAcentral describes it as "long non-coding RNA (PVUL_LNC001777)". Lineage: Eukaryota; Viridiplantae; Streptophyta; Magnoliopsida; Fabales; Fabaceae. The record is from RNAcentral.
GCGACUUGAUCUUCAACCUGGCGAUCGCCUAUUCUGGUACUCUGGAAAUCGGAACACGCCAACUUAACAACUGGCGACUACACGUACCUCCCGACUUCCUUCCCAUCUGCCAACCUGACGAUUGUCAACACGCCUACACUGUAGCAGGAUGCCACGUCAUCACACCCGUCCACCAGGGCGGUACAACAAACAAGAACCUCUUUUUCUUAUCCUUUCUAGUCUGUCAUCUUAUGUAUGUACAACAUCAUUUGGAGACAAGAAAAUGUGUCUCCCAAAGUCUGCAAGAUCCACCAAAGGAAGGAUGCACCAACCAUACAGAAUCAUCAUCAAAGAAACCUCAAAACACUAAGCAAUCACCAAAUCCUCUUCAUGAGGCAUCAUCAUUUCUCACCAAAUAUACAGAACAAACAAACAAUCUUCCUCUUUCCAUUCAAACCAAAAUGCAGGCCUGUUACUUCACAACAACUCAUAUUCUAUGUUGUCAAGACUUGUCAUCAAGAUUGGGGAUGCCAUCAAAACUCUAUGCCAUGUGUAUUUACCAGGCAUAUCACCACAUUCAAAACUGCACUUAUUCAUGCCCUGCCAAUGCCAUAUAUAAGAACAAAGCUUAAGUCCUAGACUGGAGUGUGAUAAUCAUGUGAAGAAGAGUGCAAAAGCAAUACAAGAAACUGCACUUAUUUCUUUUUCUAUAUCUAACAUAAUCUAACAGAUGUGUAAGGAGACAAUCAACUUUUGGAUUGUGGCACCUCCACUUCCUAAAUUAUAGAAGAGCAGUACUAUUUAAAAACAGGGUAGCAUUGUUACAGUCCAUCUAGCUAGUGUUAUAGCAUGUACAUUCAGAACAGUUCAAAAGAUCUACCCUCAAGAAUAAACAAAAUGCUAAAUUUGAUAGACCAUUGGACAAUUUUGAUGAAGAUCAUUGAACUUCAGCCCAUCUCAUUUUGACGGACAGCUUUUGCUAAUGAUGGCAUUUAAUUUAAGUAAAGAGAAAUAGUUGAGUACUGCAAAUUAAUAUAAAAAAUGCCUAAAGUACUAACUCUGCAAAAUUUUGACUCCACCAAACAUCCAUACAAUUAAGUAAUGAAAAGGUGAGAAAUAGAUCAAACAAUAGGUACAAACUGCGUAAUAGAAGUGAACAUAAUGAAGCAUUAGUAUUUGAGAAUGAGUUCAAUCUUUGUACUACCAAAUGUGGACCCACAAAGCAUUCAAUCUUUCCAAAUAUUAUUUUUCGUAGAAAUUAAGAAAUGAUGUUCACCUCACUGCAACCAAUUCCAAGU